RNAcentral lists this ribosomal RNA (478 nucleotides) under uncultured bacterium. RNAcentral describes it as "partial 16S ribosomal RNA". It matches the Rfam family "Bacterial small subunit ribosomal RNA", at positions 28 to 523 of the family's 1533-position model. The record is from RNAcentral.
GGCGAACGCUGGCGGCGUGCUUAACACAUGCAAGUCGAACGGUAAGGCCCUUCGGGGUACACGAGUGGCGAACGGGUGAGUAACACGUGGGUGAUCUGCCCUGCACUUCGGGAUAAGCCUGGGAAACUGGGUCUAAUACCGGGUAGGACCACUGCCUGCAUGGGUGGUGGUGGAAAGCUUUUGCGGUGUGGGAUGGGCCCGCGGCCUAUCAGCUUGUUGGUGGGGUGAUGGCCUACCAAGGCGACGACGGGUAGCCGGCCUGAGAGGGUGACCGGCCACACUGGGACUGAGAUACGGCCCAGACUCCUACGGGAGGCAGCAGUGGGGAAUAUUGCACAAUGGGCGCAAGCCUGAUGCAGCGACGCCGCGUGAGGGAUGACGGCCUUCGGGUUGUAAACCUCUUUCAGCACCGACGAAGCGCAAGUGACGGUAGGUGCAGAAGAAGGACCGGCCAACUACGUGCCAGCCGCCGCGGUAA